Molecule: long non-coding RNA, 220 nt
Filed under: Numida meleagris (helmeted guineafowl)
Lineage: Eukaryota; Metazoa; Chordata; Aves; Galliformes; Numididae
Description: lncRNA (ENSNMEG00000010860.1)
Source: RNAcentral
ACUGCUUAGGAACAGGACCAGUUGCUGAUGGGAACAAGAGUCUGAGCCAGAUGGAAGCCAUGAAGGACCUGAAGCAUACUCUAGUUGAUCAGUUUGUGGAGAAUUAACUUCUGGAACAGACUCAAUGAUUCUUCUUGAUGAGAAUAGCAAGAAAGGGAAGUGUGAUGGGUAUUUCAGCUAUCUUCUGGAGAUCAGAUCAAGCACACACCUCGUAAAAUAA